AAAGAAAGCAACUUGCUUGAGAGUUGCGAAAUGCCAAAAAUCUAGUAAAGUUGUAUGCGGACUGGGGACCACAGAAUAUUCUGUAAUCCAUUGUUUUUCCAACAAGUAGUCACAAAAGUCUUCACUACUUCUCAGAGAAGUAGUGCUGCUCCACUGAUGACUUAGCGUCCACUAUCCAAGUCAAUGUCUACUCUAUUACUAAAAGCAUUGUUCUUUCACUGGAAACUUCACCCUUCACCAUAGCUAGCAUUUCUCCUCUGUUCCACUUCUUCUUCUCCGCUUCCUUUCCAAUUAACAGAUCUUUGCUUUCCUACUUUUCUGUUUCAGUAAAGAGGAAUCAUGUAAAAUUCCUCUUCUGGUCCAAUGCAGUCUGCGCCACCUGGGUGGAGAUUCCGCCCAACCGAUUUUGAACUGCUUGACCAUUAUUUGAAGAACAAGAGGCUUGGUCAUCUUACCCAUUGCUUCGACAUCCGAGAGUUUGAACUAUGCGAUUUUGUUCCUUCAGAUCUUUUACCUGAAUCCUCCAAUGAAGAGUUCUAUUUCUUUUGCCCUCCUGAGAAUUACGUAGAAAAAAAUGGACGGCACAAAACGCAUAGGAAAGCGAGGUCUGGAAUCUGGAGAGGCACAGGCAAGACUAACUCAGUUACAUCUGAAGAUAGUGAUGAGGAAAUUGGAACAAGAAAGAUUUUUGUUUACUAUGAUCCGAAGCCAACUAAAUGGGUCAUGCACGAAUAUGCCUUCACUGCAAAGCUCGACGUGCCUUUUAAGGGAGAUUUCGUUCUUUGUAAAUUACAUAUAAACAAGAAGCAAAAAGCCAAUAAGAAGUCGGAGGAGAUUGAACCAAAUUCCAAGAAGAGAAAAAGAAAUAAAAAAUCAGAGGAUAUGGUGCUUGGUUGCAAGAAAGGUAAAUCAAGUAAGAAGGCAAGAAUAGAUUUAUCAAAUUGCAAUAAGGCUUCAGCUUCUACUUUUGAAAAGCAAAAUUUAGAGAUAAUGGCUAAUUCAGCCUGUGGUGAAGAUGAACCGCCCAAUCAUAUGACUUCAGAUUAUGAAAGUCAGAGUCCAAAUAAGAUGGCUUCAACCUAUGAUAUAGGUGAGUCAUGUUAUCGAAGUUGUCCUACUUUUGAAUAUGAAGACCUAUAUGAUAUGUCUGCUUUCUCAACCUCCAACAGAGGUGAAGAAAGUUUCUCUAUUGUUCAAAACCCAUGUGGUAUGUCUGCUAUCGCAACCUACAACAAAGGUGAAGAAUGUCUCUCAAUGACUCAAACUCCUUAUGGUGUAAAUAAUGUUUCAACCUGUAACAAAGUUGAAAUGUUACAGGUUGAAACAAGUUGUCCAAUAGCUUCUGAUUUGGAAUAUCAAAAUCCAAAUGAGAUGACUGCUAUGUCAACCAACGAGAGAUGUAAAGUUAACUGCCAAGUGAUUUCUGAUACUGAAAAUCAAAAUGCAGAUAAGAAAAGUGAUAUAUUAGUAUCUGAACAAGUUGAAUGGAGUCCCCUUGCAACAACACCUGAUUGUAGAAAUCAAAAUCCACUUGAGAAGACCAAUGUGUCAACAUCCUGUUCUAGUUUAGAAAUUAAUGCAGCAGAAGCUGCAUUUUCAGAGGUAAGAAGUAGCAUGCCUCACAUAUUAUUAAUUUUUCUAGCGGUGCAUGAGAAUCAAACUCAGUAAUAGAGAUAAAAUUAUUCUUGGAGCUCACGCUUGAGUUUCUUAGGUUGAGUGUUUCUUGUUACUCAAGACUAUUGCAUGCUUUUAAUAUGAUUCUUUCUGUGGGUACAGUAUCCACCGACUUUUUUCGAUCAGAUGAAAGCAUUAAUUGAGCCAAAAGAUUGUCUGAACUCUGCACUUUUCUCGCCUACAAGGAUUGAGGAAAGCCUCUCUCACACUAGCUUUAGUGCCUUUCUGCCUAGUGGAACAAGUUCUGAAUUAGGAACUACAUGAGAAUGUUUCUCUGCCCCAUUUGGCACUCUAUAACAAAGUAUUUAAACUGAA
Molecule: unclassified non-coding RNA, 1989 nt
Filed under: Hevea brasiliensis (rubber tree)
Lineage: Eukaryota; Viridiplantae; Streptophyta; Magnoliopsida; Malpighiales; Euphorbiaceae
Source: RNAcentral